GUGUGGGUGUGUGCGUGUGACUCACAAUUACAAUGAUUACUCUGGCAGAACAGUUGGAUGAACAGCUCACGCUGACUGUAAAGAACAGAGAGAAAGAGAGAGGGAGAGAGGGAGAGAGGGAGAGAGAAGCUGUGCUCCUCUGGCAUCUCCAUCUCAUAACUCGUCUGCUGCUCGGUGUGUUCACACACACACUCAGACAUCUACAGCAGGAUUCUCUUCUUCAGUGUCUCCGGGGAGGAAAAAAACCCUUGUGCGGAGGAGGUCCAGCACGAAGAAGGUUUGUUCUCAGAGUUACUAUCUCGGGAUCUGGAAUGCAGAGGCACGGACUCUCAGAUGUCGUCCCGUCUCUUCUCGGAGAAUCACUGGUCUCAAGUCUCUAGAAUCCCCUGCUUACUCAUCGUCCAACAACAGAUACGGGGACAUUUAUCGCCUUAUUUUGCUAAAAGUAAUUCCGUUCCUGCCUUUGUCUUGUGGACGGGCAGAGGAGGUGUAUGAUAUCGUCAACAGGAGACUCUUUGCAGCUGCCUCUUCAAAAAGAAAAAAAUAUAUUUUUAUGACUCACAAGCACGAUUGCUUUCAGUACGGUCGUGUAGUCACAUGGCGCCGAUGUCACAGUUUGAGUGUUGACAUCAGAGACUGUUUGUGGAAAAUGUGGCAGCUGACUCAGUUUAGUGUCCUGUUCUGAAAGACAGUUUGGGUUUCUGAAUUUACCAGCGUCACUCCUCUUAAUGAAAUAUUCCCUUAUGGAGAGUUAUGUUAAAAUAACAUUAGUUAGUUUAAGAGCUUCAGACUGAGCCAGGCUACCUGCGGUUAUAUUAUAUUUCCUAAAAUGUUAAACUACUCCUUUAAACCGAAGGAAGCAGGACUUCUAUGAUAAUGUUAAUAUGUGUCUACACCUGUGAAAAGAAUACUGUUCUUUGAAAGUAAAUGAUCCCAGCAUGGUCAUUCUCUUCUUGAUUGCAAAUCAUUACGUGCCGUCUCGGAGACUAAAUGCUUCGAAUAAGUCUUCUCCCAGUGUGGGUGACUCUGGUUCCAAUCACCUGCUGAACUUAAAACUGCUCAGAUCUUUCAAUAAAUACUUCAGGAACCUGGAUGUCCAUUCUUCUUUGCCUGGGUUGACAAGCCUCCGUGUUUAUGCCGUGAUGGUGGAGACCUUUCCGCUCUUUCCUUCGUUAUCUUGCUGCCCCACAAGCACACGACUGGACAUAUUCACGGGGUUAUUUUGCAUGAGGAUUCAACCAGAGACAAAAAUGUUAGAAAUGCAGAGGGAUACAGUGAUGACUAGUUUCAUUGGAUGUGUCUCAGUCGUGGCCUGAGUUCGGUGAUGCAGAGCAUUUAGUUUCAUUUCCUUUCACUUAAAUGAUCCAGGGUUCUUUUGGUGUGAUCCGACAAACCUCAUCCUUUACUAAACACAUGAUUUAUGCAGUAUUUUUGUGUUUAUCUAGACGGGAUUCGGCCCGUGAACGUGGUGGGAAGGAGGGGGAAGAGGAGGUGUGAUGAACAGUGUGUCAUAAGAUAAACCUUCACCCCCUUCUGCUCCUGUUCAAAUGAAGCCAUCUGGAAACAGUCAUGAGUCACAGCAUUAUUAUUAGACCUGAUAGACCUGGUACCUUUAGGUUGUACAUUUCAUUUCACAGAGUUUCCACAGCUCCGACCAUCAUGCAUUCGUUUCUUCAUCUUCGCCUUCCUUCACAUUACUUCUUCUUUCACAUAUUAAGGUUUUAAUUUAUCAAUGCUUACCAAUAAUAAAUGUCAUCGUAAUCAAAAGAGAAUUUUCCCACUGAAGUAUCCCGAUGUACAACAGAAACUUUAUAUGAUUGUUUCAAUGUGAUGAGUUUGGCCUCUUUAGGUGCAAUACCGGGAGACACGAGGGGUUUCCCUUUGAACUUAGUGGGACCACUGGUUUGCCUACAUGGCUUUCAGUGUCCAGCCUCCAUCCCAAAACAACACACUGGACCUACACCUGCAUCCAAUCUGCAGCAGGAAGCUUACAAGUUCAUCUGUCGCAAUAUCAAAGCUAUCUUCUCCAUGUCCAACAUGGCUUGUAUUGCAUGUCUCAAGCACAAUGCACUGUCUAUAAAAACAACGGACUGCACUCGGAAACUGAUUUCAUUGGGUGAGGUAGAUGUUUGUACCCCGUCUCUAGCACCAUAUGAAAUCAGUGUUCCUGGAAGUGGAUCAUCAGCACGUACAGACGCUCAGAAACUGAAGUGUGAUGAAGUUUUCAUAAUGCCACAAAGUACGGAGAGAAGUCCAUUCUCCGGAUUACUCUUCAUCCCAACGGGGAACAGCUGCUUGUCUGCUUCCUGGAAACUCUUUUUUUUCUCCCUUUGUGUCUGACUCAAACAUUCUUUUCUCAUCAAUGCAAUUUCAGUGGUCAAUUCCGGAAUCGUUAUCUUUGUUUAAAGACAAAAUGAGUCUGAUUCUCCUGAAAUAAACUAUGUAUAGACUCAUGCCAAAA
Gasterosteus aculeatus aculeatus (three-spined stickleback) is the source of this 2461-nucleotide non-coding RNA. NCBI's taxonomy places the organism in Eukaryota, Metazoa, Chordata, Actinopteri, Perciformes, Gasterosteidae. The record is from RefSeq and is a predicted model, not a curated record.